CUCAAUGUUUGUAAUAAGACACCCUCCAUCACAGAUCAUCUCUUCUGCAUAAACUCCAACUGGUCCAGCUGCCCGGAUCAUCACCAGAACCUCCUCCAUCGAACACAUCACUCCAGUCCUUCAACAACUCCACCGGCUCCCUGUCAAAUAUCACAUGGACUUUCAAAUUCUCCUUCUCACAUUCAAGGCUCUCCAUAACCUCUCACCUCCGUACCUUUCUGAUCUCCUUCACACCUACACACCCUCUCGGACCCUCCGUUCUGCCUCCUCCAUGCUCCUCACCACACCUCCUGCCCGCCUAUCAUCGAUGGGGUCUCAAGCUUUUAGACGUGCAGCCCCCACGUCUCUGGAACUCUCUAUCACAAACCAUAGGCAACUACCUACCUUCAAAUCACAGCUCAAAACACACCUUUUUAGAUUAUCUUAUUCUGUCUGACCACGCCCUUCUCACUAUUGCUGUUUUUGUUUUUUCUGCUUCCAUGUAGUUGAUUGUGUUCUUGUUUUUCCUGCUGUGUCUAAGGUGACCUUUAGUGACGGGAAAAGCCCCUAAAUAAAAUGCAUUAUUUUUAUUA
Non-coding RNA from Labrus bergylta (ballan wrasse), 572 nucleotides. NCBI's taxonomy places the organism in Eukaryota, Metazoa, Chordata, Actinopteri, Labriformes, Labridae. The record is from RefSeq and is a predicted model, not a curated record.